CCACAAGUUAGGGGGGUGGCAGUUCCUGUCUGUCCGUGAGAAAGUCUGCUCACCUGCUUAAUGUUCAUUUUACUAGUGCCAAACAUUUAAUAUCUACAAGAUAAUAGUAAUGUUGAAAAACAAAAUAAAUUGUGAAAUGUACAAGGAUUAAAAUAAUGCUGGUAUUGACACUUUUUUCUUUUCCACACCAAGAUAAUCAGCUUUCAUUAUAGCAAGGGGAGGAGACAGGAGAGCCGGAAGCUGCUACUUUUGGAGUAUGUUUUAACUACUGUACGAACCUGUAAUGUAGUACUUCAAAUUUGUCUGAGCUGCAAGGAUCUGCCAACAUGGUGCAUCCAGAACAUCCAAUCUUUGAAUCCACCUUGCUGAAUAAGCUGACUUCUGGCAGUGCAUUUGCAAUUGCUUUUAUAUUUCUUGUUUUUCAGUACACUUUCAAACUGGACUUUCAGUGCCCAUGUAAUGAUUUUUAUCAGUGGUUCUGCGGACUAUAUAUUGGUCUUCCAUUUAUCGGACUUUUUUUAAUACUGACCUUAACCGCUAAAACAUUUACAAUUAUUUCUGCACUGUGGUGUUCUUGUAUACGUGCGUUAUGGUCCCAUGAAGACUGCACACUUGGGAACAUUCUCCAUGUAUCCUGCUCCUGUUCAGCCUGCUCUCGUGCACGUUUCUAUCAGGCAUGCAGAAGAUUUUCCUGUAAAAAUUUUAUGAGAAACCUGUUUCUUUCUGCGUUAUGGAUCAUAACAGUUUUGAUUGAUGGUGACGCUGUGGUGUGCUGGAAUCUGACAGAAGAAAACAUCACCCGAACAAACGAUCAAAUUCCUUGUAAAGAGAGCAACAAACUUACUGCUGAAGAAUCUGACAAGAUUAAAUAUUAUCAGGCUCUAUCACAGGCGUUCGGGUUGGGAUUCCUUUUUGCUCUACCAUUAUUGUGGCUGUUGGUUUCUACAUGUUGUCAGUUUUGCACAACAUCCUAUUACAAGUCUCUAUUUGAAGACAUAUAUGAAGAGGAGACAAUAAGAUAUGCGGAGGAGGAAAUCCGAGAGAGAGUGAAAACAAGUUCUAAAAAAAAAAUUAUUAAUGUUUUAAAUGUACCCGAAAAUGAUGGUUUAGACUGGACAUACUUGUCUAACCAAAUGAUUGACUUAAUCAUGUCAAGAAACUCUGAAUCAAUGAAUGGACCACCCCAGAACCUUCCUCAGCAAGACCAGAACCCUUCUCUGCCACCCCAGAACCUUCCUCAGCAAGACCAGAACCCUUCUCUGCCACCCCAGAACCUUCCUCAGCAAGACCAGAACCCUUCUCUGCCACCCCAGAAC
RNAcentral lists this long non-coding RNA (1316 nucleotides) under Sinocyclocheilus grahami. RNAcentral's name for it is "lncRNA (ENSSGRG00000045576.1)". The record is from RNAcentral. Lineage: Eukaryota; Metazoa; Chordata; Actinopteri; Cypriniformes; Cyprinidae.